RNAcentral lists this ribosomal RNA (336 nucleotides) under Aphanomyces astaci. RNAcentral's name for it is "partial large subunit ribosomal RNA". It matches the Rfam family "Bacterial large subunit ribosomal RNA", at positions 1443 to 1776 of the family's 2925-position model. RNAcentral also lists the same sequence under 2 other names. The record is from RNAcentral. Lineage: Eukaryota; Oomycota; Saprolegniomycetes; Saprolegniales; Verrucalvaceae.
AAUUCUAAUUUAAUAGAAGUCAAGUUAUGAUCUGAGAGAUAACUUAAAAAUGGAAAGUUAUUUAGAAACAAGAUAAAAGGCAAAACACCAAACUUCAUACAAACUUAAAUGUUUGACAUUUAAAAAUUAAAGAGAUUUUUUUUUAAGUGUAUUUGAGACAAAUAAGCCAACCUUGGUACAUAACCGCUGAAAACUAAAAAACCGUACCCUAAACCAACACAGGUGGAUAGGUCGAGUAGACUAAGGUGUAUGAGAUAAUUAUGUUGAAGGAACUCGGCAAAAUGACUCUGUAACUUCGGGAGAAAGAGUACCUUUUUAUUUAAAUGUUUAUCGACG